RNAcentral lists this microRNA precursor (70 nucleotides) under Meleagrid alphaherpesvirus 1 (Turkey herpesvirus). RNAcentral describes it as "microRNA hvt-mir-H13 precursor". Its record names the gene hvt-mir-H13. It matches the Rfam family "hvt-mir-H9 microRNA precursor family". Lineage: Duplodnaviria; Heunggongvirae; Peploviricota; Herviviricetes; Herpesvirales; Orthoherpesviridae. The record is from miRBase by way of RNAcentral.
GGCGUAUUUUCUCCGGUGAGCGUAGCUGCCUGUAGUCGUUAGCAGCUACGUUGUCCGCGGGAUUCUAGCC